Molecule: transfer RNA, 75 nt
Filed under: Acidobacteriota bacterium
Lineage: Bacteria; Pseudomonadati; Acidobacteriota
Description: tRNA-Val
Rfam family: tRNA
About the family: Transfer RNA (tRNA) molecules are approximately 80 nucleotides in length. Their secondary structure includes four short double-helical elements and three loops (D, anti-codon, and T loops).
Source: RNAcentral
AGUCAAUUAGCUCAGUGGCAGAGCGUCUGUCCUACAAACAGAACGGCAAAGGUUCAAAUCCUUUAUCGGCUACCA